This 636-nucleotide long non-coding RNA is filed under the name Vombatus ursinus (common wombat). Its description in RNAcentral is "lncRNA (ENSVURG00010015849.1)". Lineage: Eukaryota; Metazoa; Chordata; Mammalia; Diprotodontia; Vombatidae. The record is from RNAcentral.
UGAUGAUCUAUCAGAUCUCAGCCUCAGAUUCCUCCUGAGUGGCUUAUAACAGGGAAUGUCAGCUGCAAAGAAACCCUAACAUAUGGGUCAUCCUACAGUGGGAUUAGCUACUUCAAAAUCUUCAAUAUCGAACAUAAGUGUCUCUGUUCCUGCAAAGGCAUGAUCUAAAGCAGCUUUUGCUUUCACUGUCUAGAGGGACAGAUAUUUAAAUAAAUAGCCACCCACAACUGCCAUCUCCCAAACUGCCACAGAACCUUUCAAGUUCAACAUUCUCUCUCUUCUGGGGAAGGAGCAUCACCUAAAACAUUCCGCGUGCUGUUUGAAUAGUAGCAGAGAGGCCACCAAUCUCUCUGUCCACAUGUACUCUCCAUCACACAUGCAGCAAUUUCUUCAAUGUCUGCAACACAGCCGUGGGAAUAAGUCCCUGGCAGCAGAGGCAGCUGCCCAUGUCCACUGUCAGCCCCAGGACCACCAACUCAUAGCCACAAACUGGACUCCUACCCUGAAGGGGGGCACCCACCAGUACUGCCUGGAUCUCUUGGGCUACAAGGAGCAGGAAGGAAUAGUUGCCAGCCCCAGGGUUCCCAGUGCCGAUUCCGACACUGUGAAGAAGCCCUUGGCAGUGACACUGUGUGC